Molecule: non-coding RNA, 82 nt
Filed under: unclassified sequences
Source: RNAcentral
AUAACCGCACCUUAAUGCCUGUUAUGUCGUAAUGCAGCCGUUGCCACGUGCCAAGUCGUGGAUUAGAAAUGCAGAGGCGGAA